AUUGAACGCUGGCGGCAGGCUUAACACAUGCAAGUCGAGCGGAGUGAUGGUGCUUGCACUAUCACUUAGCGGCGGACGGGUGAGUAAUGCUUAGGAAUCUGCCUAUUAGUGGGGGACAACAUCUCGAGAGGGAUGCUAAUACCGCAUACGUCCUACGGGAGAAAGCAGGGGAUCACUCGUUACCUUGCGCUAAUAGAUGAGCCUAAGUCGGAUUAGCUAGUUGGUGGGGUAAAGGCCUACCAAGGAGACGAUCUGUAGCGGGUCUGAGAGGAUGAUCCGCCACACUGGGACUGAGACACGGCCCAGACUCCUACGGGAGGCAGCAGUGGGGAAUAUUGGACAAUGGGGGGAACCCUGAUCCUGCCAUGCCGCGUGUGUGAAGAAGGCCUUAUGGUUGUAAAGCACUUUAAGCGAGGAGGAGGCUCUUUUGGUUAAUACCCAAGAUGAGUGGACGUUACUCGCAGAAUAAGCACCGGCUAACUCUGUGCCAGCCGCCGCCGUAA
RNAcentral lists this ribosomal RNA (503 nucleotides) under uncultured bacterium. Its description in RNAcentral is "partial 16S ribosomal RNA". It matches the Rfam family "Bacterial small subunit ribosomal RNA", at positions 30 to 523 of the family's 1533-position model. The record is from RNAcentral.